RNAcentral lists this ribosomal RNA (564 nucleotides) under Triticum aestivum (bread wheat). RNAcentral's name for it is "partial small subunit ribosomal RNA". The record is from RNAcentral. Lineage: Eukaryota; Viridiplantae; Streptophyta; Magnoliopsida; Poales; Poaceae.
AUGGUUCAAAUUCCUUCAAAGUUUACAGGUGAAGCCAUAUUCUGUGACGCAGCUUGGAAGUUGCAGCAAGGUAUGCUCUCAUCUCCAGCAGGCAUAGGCAUCUACAUUCGAAUGGAGCAUAACCAGCAUUGCAAGCAGACAUAUGAUUCGGCGAUGUCUCCCCCGGCGUUGUCGCCACUUCAGGCUGAAACUUUUGGACUUCUUCUCGCCACCAAGAUUGCUGACAUACUUCAACUUCAAGAACCUCGCUUCUACACAGAUAACUCUGUUUUGGCAUCUGCAUCUGCCGCAACUAACAUUGUAGCUGCUUCAGGUCACUGGAUGAUUAGGCCCCACAUUGCAGCUAUUCAAUCUAGCAAGUCCUUCCAGGCAAACAUGAUCAAUCAUUUGCCAAGGAGCUCCAAUGUAAAAGCCCAUCAUGAGGCUCAUUUAGCAAUUAAGAUUCAGAACAGAUCUUUAGUAUUCAGGUGUUUAUGUUCAAAUGCAGGUCAAUGUCCAGUUAGGGACAUACUUUCUGUUCAUAGCAUGAAUCCAUUCAUGCUCCUCUCUGUAAAAUGUGCUUAA